Molecule: unclassified non-coding RNA, 321 nt
Filed under: Hevea brasiliensis (rubber tree)
Lineage: Eukaryota; Viridiplantae; Streptophyta; Magnoliopsida; Malpighiales; Euphorbiaceae
Source: RNAcentral
GCUAAUCAGGCUGAUGAUUUAUUGGAGACAAUGGAAGCCAGGCCUACUAUCCCCGAUAGAAAGCUACUUGCAAGACUAGUGCUGAUCAGAGAAGAAGCUCGGAAUAUGAUGGGUGGUGGGUUAUUGGAUGAAAGAAAUGAUCGUGGUUUUACUACACUCCCUGAAGCAGAGGUGAACUUCUUGAGCAAAUUAGUUGCCUUGAAGCCCGGAAAAUCUGUCCAAGCAAUGAUCAAGAAUGUUAUGCAAGGGAAAGACGAAGGUGCCGACAACUCUGGCAGCGAUGAUGAAGAUUCCGAAGAUACAAGACGAACUCUUGGUGGA